Eurytemora carolleeae is the source of this 356-nucleotide long non-coding RNA. RefSeq lists it as uncharacterized. The record is from RefSeq and is a predicted model, not a curated record. The transcript is spliced from 5 exons. Lineage: Eukaryota; Metazoa; Arthropoda; Copepoda; Calanoida; Temoridae.
GGGGCGAUAUUUUACUUUUAAACCCAUAAGAAAAUAGUGAAAAAUACUGAUUUUUGUAUUUGACACAUUGCAGUUGGGAUAUUCAAAUCCACGAGUGAAAGAGAGAACAUAUUAAACUUUGGGUAACUAGUUGAAUAUCACCCUCAGUUAAUUCAAGUAAGGUUCCGUGGCUUCAUGAGUAUACUUUCAAUUGGUAUGCGUCCCCAGACCCUCUCUUAUCCAUCAAAACAUAAUAAUAUCUGGAAUACUAUAUCCAGGACUUAAGAAGUCGAAAACAAUCUUCUAUAUCAUCAGAUCAGUGAGACGAGGGGCGGGGCCAGUUGCCCUGAUACAACCCUACUCUCAUGAAGGCAUUU